GUCCUGUUACAAAACUUUGAAUUUUUCAAAAAACUAAGGAUUUUCUUAUCCCAGGCAUAGAUUACCUUAGCCGUAUUUGGCACAACUUUUUUGAAUUUUGGAUCCUCAAUGCUCUUCAACUUUGUACUUGUUUGGCUUUAUAAAUAUUUUGAUAUGAGCGUCACUGAUGAUUCUUAUGAAGACGAAACGUGCGUCUGGCGUACUAAAUUAUAAUCCUGGUACCUUUGAUAACUACAAUUACCAUAUGGUUACAAGGUAUAUUUGUGUACGACUGAUAUAAUUGAUUACCACAGACCUAUAAUUAAUAACUCAAAUAACUCAUUUAAGAUUGCUAACACUCUUUAUAUUAUAUAUCAUUGAUAUGGUUGAUCAAGUUAGAUAAGCAAAUAUCAACUCAAUUGACAUUGUAAAA
RNAcentral lists this long non-coding RNA (412 nucleotides) under Mytilus galloprovincialis (Mediterranean mussel). Lineage: Eukaryota; Metazoa; Mollusca; Bivalvia; Mytilida; Mytilidae. The record is from RNAcentral.